Molecule: ribosomal RNA, 477 nt
Filed under: uncultured bacterium
Lineage: Bacteria
Description: bacterial SSU rRNA
Rfam family: Bacterial small subunit ribosomal RNA
Source: RNAcentral
AGGACGAACGCUGGCGGCGUGCCUAACACAUGCAAGUCGAGCGAGGAGAUUCCUUCGGGAUGAUCCUAGCGGCGGACGGGUGAGUAACACGUGGGCAACCUGCCUCAUAGAGAGGAAUAGCCUUCCGAAAGGGAGAUUAAUACCUCAUAACAUUGCAGUUUCGCAUGGAACAGCAAUUAAAGGAGUAAUCCGCUAUGAGAUGGGGCCCGCGGCGCAUUAGCUAGUUGGUGAGGUAACGGCUCACCAAGGCGACGAUGCGUAGCCGACCUGAGAGGGUGAUCGGCCACAUUGGGACUGAGACACGGCCCAGACUCCUACGGGAGGCAGCAGUGGGGAAUAUUGCACAAUGGGGGAAACCCUGAUGCAAGCAACGCCGCGUGAGUGAUGACGGCCUUCGGGUUGUAAAGCUCUGUCUUCAGGGACGAUAAUGACGGUACCUGAGGAGGAAGCCACGGCUAACUACGUGCCAGCAGCCGC